This 637-nucleotide ribosomal RNA is filed under the name uncultured bacterium. Its description in RNAcentral is "bacterial SSU rRNA". It matches the Rfam family "Bacterial small subunit ribosomal RNA", at positions 202 to 842 of the family's 1533-position model. The record is from RNAcentral.
UAAAGAUUCAUCGCUGAUAGAUAGGCAUGCGUUCCAUUAGGCAGUUGGCGGGGUAACGGCCCACCAAACCGACGAUGGAUAGGGGUUCUGAGAGGAAGGUCCCCCACAUUGGUACUGAGACACGGACCAAACUCCUACGGGAGGCAGCAGCGAGGAAUAUUGGUCAAUGGGCGUAAGCCUGAACCAGCCAAGUCGCGUGAGGGAUGAAGGUUCUAUGGAUCGUAAACCUCUUUUAUAAGGGAAUAAAGUGCGGGACGUGUCCCGUUUUGUAUGUACCUUAUGAAUAAGGAUCGGCUAACUCCGUGCCAGCAGCCGCGGUAAUACGGAGGAUCCGAGCGUUAUCCGGAUUUAUUGGGUUUAAAGGGUGCGUAGGCGGCCUUUUAAGUCAGCGGUGAAAGUCUGUGGCUCAACCAUAGAAUUGCCGUUGAAACUGGGAGGCUUGAGUAUGUUUGAGGCAGGCGGAAUGCGUGGUGUAGCGGUGAAAUGCUUAGAUAUCACGCAGAACCCCGAUUGCGAAGGCAGCCUGCCAAGCCAUGACUGACGCUGAUGCACGAAAGCGUGGGGAUCAAACAGGAUUAGAUACCCUGGUAGUCCACGCAGUAAACGAUGAUCACUAGCUGUUUGCGAUACACAGUAA